RNAcentral lists this ribosomal RNA (372 nucleotides) under uncultured Bacteroidales bacterium. Its description in RNAcentral is "bacterial SSU rRNA". It matches the Rfam family "Bacterial small subunit ribosomal RNA", at positions 22 to 393 of the family's 1533-position model. The record is from RNAcentral. Lineage: Bacteria; Pseudomonadati; Bacteroidota; Bacteroidia; Bacteroidales.
GCUCAGGAUGAACGCUAGCUACAGGCUUAACACAUGCAAGUCGAGGGGUAGCAGGGUAGCAAUACCGCUGACGACCGGCGCACGGGUGAGUAACACGUAUCCAACCUUCCCAUAACUCGGGGAUAGCCUUUCGAAAGAAAGAUUAAUACCCGAUAGUACUUUUUUAGGGCAUCUUAGAAAAGUUAAAGAUUUAUUGGUUAUGGAUGGGGAUGCGUUCCAUUAGAUAGUUGGUGAGGUAACGGCUCACCAAGUCUUCGAUGGAUAGGGGUUCUGAGAGGAAGGUCCCCCACAUUGGUACUGAGACACGGACCAAACUCCUACGGGAGGCAGCAGUGAGGAAUACUGGUCAAUGGGCGAGAGCCUGAACCAGCC